Molecule: ribosomal RNA, 413 nt
Filed under: uncultured microorganism
Description: bacterial SSU rRNA
Rfam family: Archaeal small subunit ribosomal RNA
Source: RNAcentral
GCGCAGCAGUCGAGAAUCCUUCGCAAUGCGGGAAACCGCGACGAGGGGACUCCCAGUGCCUACGCUCAGCGUAGGCUGUUCCCGAGCCUAGAAAGCUCGGGGAGUAAGGGCUGGGUAAGACGGGUGCCAGUCGCCGCGGUAAUACCCGCAGCCCGAGUGGUGGCCACUAUUAUUGGGCCUAAAGCGUCCGUAGCCGGCCCGGUAAAUGCCUGGGUAAAUCGUGAGGCCUAACCUCACGAAUUCCGGGUAGACUGCCGGGCUAGGGACCGGAGGAGGGAGAGGGUACUCCAGGGGUAGGGGUGAAAUCCUGUAAUCCCUGGAGGACCACCGGUGGCGAAGGCGCUCUCCUAGGACGGGUCCGACGGUGAGGGACGAAAGCCAGGGGAGCGAACCGGAUUAGAUACCCGCGUAGU